CCCCUCCCCUCCGAUUCCAGCAGCCCUUCAUUGCCAAAAGACCCAAUUUUUUUUCAAAAUUCCCUCUUCUCUCAAAACCCUAACUAGUCGCCAACCUCCACCACACCACCACCAACCAAUACAAGCCGCCGCAGUCGCCGACGACUUCUUGCCGCCGCUGCCAUCGCUUCUCAAACAAAAAUUAUCAUGGAACGAUACUUUAAGAGAAAAGUGCCUAUGGAUGGUGAGUCUAAUCCGGGUAGUUCAAGUGCAAGAGCAAGACCUAUUGAAUUAGAUGAAAUAUUGGCUAAUCUUCAGGCAGACCUUGGACUAAGAACUCAAAUGACGGAUUAUAGUCCUAAUCAUCGAGAUGAGAUCCGUAGAGCAUAUCUUCAAAAAUGAUCUUGUCAACCUAAAGGUUAUAGAUUCCCACAAACUAAUCAGUCAGAAAUUAAUAGACGGUUUAUUGCCCAAUGGUUUGAUAAGUUUGAUUGGUUGGAGUAUAGUAUAGUUAAAGAUGCUGCAUUUUGCCUCCAUUGCUAUUUCUUUAAAACUAAUUUUGAUCAAGUGGGUGGUGACACAUUCACUGGGAUAGGCUUCAAUAACUGGAAGAAGGGGAGAGAAAGGUUUAACAUUCAUGUUGGACCGGUUAGCAGUGUUCACAACCAAGCUAGAGAAGCUGCUUACAAUCUGAUGAAUAAAAAAGCACACAUUGAAAGAUUUUUCGAAUAGAGCUUUAGUAAUGCUUGGGGUUUAUGUUCA
Prunus avium (sweet cherry) is the source of this 741-nucleotide non-coding RNA. The record is from RefSeq and is a predicted model, not a curated record. Lineage: Eukaryota; Viridiplantae; Streptophyta; Magnoliopsida; Rosales; Rosaceae.